RNAcentral lists this ribosomal RNA (420 nucleotides) under uncultured soil bacterium. RNAcentral's name for it is "bacterial SSU rRNA". It matches the Rfam family "Bacterial small subunit ribosomal RNA", at positions 35 to 437 of the family's 1533-position model. The record is from RNAcentral.
GCUGGCGGCGUGCCUAACACAUGCAAGUCGAGCGAGAAAAGGGGGGCAACUCCCUGAGUACAGCGGCGCACGGGUGAGUAACACGUAGGUAACCUGCCCUCGAGCCUGGGAUAACCUACCGAAAGGUGGGCUAAUACCGGAUAUGACCACGGGAGUUACGGCUUCUGCGGUGAAAGAUGGCCUCUGCUUGCACGCCAUUUCUCGAGGAUGGGCCUGCGCGCCAUUAGCUAGUUGGCGGGGUAAUGGCCCACCAAGGCUAUGAUGGCUAGCUGGUCUGAGAGGAUGACCAGCCACACUGGGACUGGAACACGGCCCAGACUCCUACGGGAGGCAGCAGUGGGGGAUAUUGCGCAAUGGGCGAAAGCCUGACGCAGCGACGCCGCGUGGGUGAUGAAGGCCUUCGGGUCGUAAAGCCCUGUC